Molecule: ribosomal RNA, 253 nt
Filed under: uncultured bacterium
Lineage: Bacteria
Description: partial 16S ribosomal RNA
Rfam family: Bacterial small subunit ribosomal RNA
Source: RNAcentral
UACGUAGGGGGCAAGCGUUGUCCGGAUUUAUUGGGCGUAAAGAGCGCGUAGGCGGCCAGACAGGUCAGCUGUGAAAACUCGAGGCUCAACCUCGAGACGUCGGUUGAAACCGUCUGGCUAGAGUCCGGAAGAGGAGAGUGGAAUUCCCGGUGUAGCGGUGAAAUGCGCAGAUAUCGGGAAGAACACCCGUGGCGAAGGCGGCUCUCUGGGACGGUACUGACGCUGAGACGCGAAAGCGUGGGGAGCGAACAGG